AAAGGUGUGCUAAUACCGCAUAAUCUCUCAGGAGAAAAGCAGGGGAUCGCAAGACCUUGCGCUUUAGGAGCGGCCGAUGCCUGAUUAGCUUGUUGGUAAGGUAAAAGCUUACCAAGGCUUCGAUCAGUAGCUGGUCUGAGAGGACGACCAGCCACACUGGGACUGAGACACGGCCCAGACUCCUACGGGAGGCAGCAGUGGGGAAUUUUGGACAAUGGGGGAAACCCUGAUCCAGCCAUGCCGCGUGAGUGAAGAAGGCCUUCGGGUUGUAAAGCUCUUUCAGCCGGAACGAAACGGUUACGAUUAAUACUCGUAAUUAAUGACGGUACCGGCAGAAGAAGCACCGGCUAACUACGUGCCAGCAGCCGCGGUAAUACGUAGGGUGCGAGCGUUAAUCGGAAUUACUGGGCGUAAAGGGUCCGCAGGUUGUUUUGUAAGUCAGAUGUGAAAGCCCCGGGCUUAACCUGGGAACUGCGUCUGAAACUACAAGGCUAGAGUAUGGCAGAGGGGGGUGGAAUUCCGCGUGUAGCAGUGAAAUGCGUAGAUAUGUGGAGGAACACCGAUGGCGAAGGCAGCCCCCUGGGUCAAUACUGACGCUGAGGGACGAAAGCAUGGGGAGCAAACAGGAUUAGAUACCCUGGUAGUCCAUGCCCUAAACGAUGUCAACUAGUUGUCGGGCCUUUACGGGCUUGGUAACGUAGCUAACGCGUGAAGUUGACCGCCUGGGGAGUACGAUCGCAAGAUUAAAACUCAAAUGAAUUGACGGGGACCCGCACAAGCGGUGGAUUAUGUGGAUUAAUUCGAUGCAACGCGAAAAACCUUACCUACCCUUGACAUGUAUCGAAGCCCGCAGAAAAGCGGAGGUGCCCGAAAGGGAACGAUAACACAGGUGCUGCAUGGCUGUCGUCAGCUCGUGUCGUGAGAUGUUGGGUUAAGUCCCGCAACGAGCGCAACCCUUGUCAUUAAUUGCCAUCAUUUAGUUGGGCACUUUAAUGAGACUGCCGGUGACAAACCGGAGGAAGGUGGGGAUGACGUCAAGUCCUCAUGGCCCUUA
Molecule: ribosomal RNA, 1054 nt
Filed under: uncultured bacterium SCICEX 96B
Lineage: Bacteria; Pseudomonadati; Pseudomonadota; Betaproteobacteria; Nitrosomonadales; Nitrosomonadaceae
Also listed under: 1 other name
Description: bacterial SSU rRNA
Rfam family: Bacterial small subunit ribosomal RNA
Source: RNAcentral